RNAcentral lists this ribosomal RNA (821 nucleotides) under uncultured bacterium. RNAcentral's name for it is "bacterial SSU rRNA". It matches the Rfam family "Bacterial small subunit ribosomal RNA", at positions 636 to 1456 of the family's 1533-position model. The record is from RNAcentral.
UNUGACUUGAGUGCAGAAGGGGAGAGUGGAAUUCCAUGUGUAGCGGUGAAAUGCGUAGAUAUAUGGAGGAACACCAGUGGCGAAAGCGGCUCUCUGGUCUGUCACUGACGCUGAGGCUCGAAAGCGUGGGUAGCGAACAGGAUUAGAUACCCUGGUAGUCCACGCCGUAAACGAUGAGUGCUAGGUGUUAGUCCCUUUCCGGGGCUUAGUGCCGGAGCUAACGCAAUAAGCACUCCGCCUGGGGAGUACGACCGCAAGGUUGAAACUCAAAGGAAUUGACGGGGGCCCGCACAAGCGGUGGAGCAUGUGGUUUAAUUCGAAGCAACGCGAAGAACCUUACCAGGUCUUGACAUCCCGAUGCUAUUCUUAGAGAUAGGAAGUUACUUCGGUACAUCGGAGACAGGUGGUGCAUGGUUGUCGUCAGCUCGUGUCGUGAGAUGUUGGGUUAAGUCCCGCAACGAGCGCAACCCUUAUUGUUAGUUGCCAUCAUUAAGUUGGGCACUCUAGCGAGACUGCCGGUAAUAAACCGGAGGAAGGUGGGGAUGACGUCAAAUCAUCAUGCCCCUUAUGACCUGGGCUACACACGUGCUACAAUGGUCGGUACAACGAGUUGCGAGCCGGUGACGGCAAGCUAAUCUCUGAAAGCCGAUCUCAGUUCGGAUUGGAGGCUGCAACUCGCCUCCAUGAAGUCGGAAUCGCUAGUAAUCGCGGAUCAGCACGCCGCGGUGAAUACGUUCCCGGGCCUUGUACACACCGCCCGUCACACCACGAGAGUUUGUAACACCCGAAGUCGGUGAGGUAACCUUUUAGGGGCCAGCCGC